UUCCCGUACGAUCACCGAGGUUAAGCAACAUCGAUCCUGAUCCGUAUUUGGAUGGGUGACCACUUCAGAACACCAGGUGCUGUAAG
Molecule: non-coding RNA, 86 nt
Organism: Acanthosepion pharaonis
Lineage: Eukaryota; Metazoa; Mollusca; Cephalopoda; Sepiida; Sepiidae
Source: the annotation of a GenBank genome assembly